Long non-coding RNA from Nycticebus coucang (slow loris), 273 nucleotides. RefSeq lists it as uncharacterized. NCBI's taxonomy places the organism in Eukaryota, Metazoa, Chordata, Mammalia, Primates, Lorisidae. The transcript is spliced from 4 exons. The record is from RefSeq and is a predicted model, not a curated record.
CAGAUGCAGCAUAGCUCUAAAAGACCUCUCCUGGGUUUAAUCUACAUUAUGCAUCUUGGAAUUUAAUAGGUGGAGUGUCUGAAUCAUAAGAGGAGCACAUGAACAUAGGUACCCACUGUUGACAGAAUCUCCCCCUCUGCUGGGUCUUUGAUCUUAGAGAAUGGAAGAAUGAAUCCAUGGACCACCUGAAGUAAGCCACAGGAUAGAUUUUAUUGAUAGUUUUUGGCCCGGGGCUGGGUUUGAACCUGCCACCUCUGGCAUAUGGGGCCAGUG